GAUGAACGCUGGCGGCGUGCCUAAUACAUGCAAGUCGAGCGAACGGACGAGAAGCUUGCUUUUCUGAUGUUAGCGGCGGACGGGUGAGUAACACGUGGAUAACCUACCUAUAAGACUGGGAUAACUUCGGGAAACCGGAGCUAAUACCGGAUAAUAUUUUGAACCGCAUGGUUCAAAAGUGAAAGACGGUCUUGCUGUCACUUAUAGAUGGAUCCGCGCUGCAUUAGCUAGUUGGUAAGGUAACGGCUUACCAAGGCAACGAUGCAUAGCCGACCUGAGAGGGUGAUCGGCCACACUGGAACUGAGACGCGGUCAAGACUCCUACGGGAGGCAGCAGUAGGGAAUCUUCCGCAAUGGGCGAAAGCCUGACGGAGCAACGCCGCGUGAGUGAUGAAGGUCUUCGGAUCGUAAAACUCUGUUAUUAGGGAAGAACAUAUGUGUAAGUAACUGUGCACAUCUUGACGGUACCUAAUCAGAAAGCCACGGCUAACUACGUG
RNAcentral lists this ribosomal RNA (497 nucleotides) under uncultured bacterium. RNAcentral describes it as "partial 16S ribosomal RNA". It matches the Rfam family "Bacterial small subunit ribosomal RNA", at positions 28 to 507 of the family's 1533-position model. The record is from RNAcentral.